Molecule: ribosomal RNA, 398 nt
Filed under: uncultured bacterium
Lineage: Bacteria
Description: bacterial SSU rRNA
Rfam family: Bacterial small subunit ribosomal RNA
Source: RNAcentral
GAUGAACGCUGGCGGCGUGCCUAACACAUGCAAGUCGAACGAAGCGCCUGGCCCCGACUUCUUCGGACCAAGAGGUGACUGAGCGGCGGACGGGUGAGUAACGCGUGGGUAACCUGCCUCAUACAGGGGGAUAACAGUUAGAAAUGGCUGCUAAUACCGCAUAAGCGCACAGCAUCGCAUGAUGCCGUGUGAAAAACUCCGGUGGUAUGAGAUGGACCCGCGUCUGAUUAGGUAGUUGGCGGGGUAACGGCCCACCAAGCCGACGAUCAGUAGCCGACCUGAGAGGGUGACCGGCACAUUGGGACUGAGACACGGCCCAAACUCCUACGGGAGGCAGCAGUGGGAAUAUUGCACAAUGGGCGAAAGCCUGAUGCAGCGACGCCGCGUGAGCGAAGAAG